This is a small nuclear RNA of Mus spicilegus (steppe mouse), 99 nucleotides long. NCBI's taxonomy places the organism in Eukaryota, Metazoa, Chordata, Mammalia, Rodentia, Muridae. The record is from Ensembl.
GUGCUCAUGUUUACAACCUGUACUGACAGAACAGUACAGAGAUUAGCAUGACCCAUGUACAAGGAUGACACAAAAAAUUCAAUAAGCUUCUAUAUUGUU